This 83-nucleotide transfer RNA is filed under the name Schistocephalus solidus. It matches the Rfam family "tRNA". From Rfam's summary of the family: Transfer RNA (tRNA) molecules are approximately 80 nucleotides in length. Their secondary structure includes four short double-helical elements and three loops (D, anti-codon, and T loops). Further hydrogen bonds mediate the characteristic L-shaped molecular structure. tRNAs have two regions of fundamental functional importance: the anti-codon, which is responsible for specific mRNA codon recognition, and the 3' end, to which the tRNAs corresponding amino acid is attached (by aminoacyl-tRNA synthetases). tRNAs cope with the degeneracy of the genetic code in two manners: having more than one tRNA (with a specific anti-codon) for a particular amino acid; and 'wobble' base-pairing, i.e. permitting non-standard base-pairing at the 3rd anti-codon position. Lineage: Eukaryota; Metazoa; Platyhelminthes; Cestoda; Diphyllobothriidea; Diphyllobothriidae. The record is from Rfam by way of RNAcentral.
AGCCUCGUAGUUCAGUUGCCUAGAGCAAUGGCUGUGCUAAAGCCUUCCCCUUGUAAGUGUGGGUUCGAAUCCCACCGAGGCUG